Molecule: transfer RNA, 75 nt
Filed under: Vicugna pacos (alpaca)
Lineage: Eukaryota; Metazoa; Chordata; Mammalia; Artiodactyla; Camelidae
Description: tRNA-Ala (AGC) (tRNA-Ala-AGC-247-1)
Rfam family: tRNA
About the family: Transfer RNA (tRNA) molecules are approximately 80 nucleotides in length. Their secondary structure includes four short double-helical elements and three loops (D, anti-codon, and T loops).
Source: RNAcentral
GGAGUGGAUAUAGCUCAGUGGUAGAGCAUGUGCUUAGCAUGCACAAGGUCCUGGGUUCAAUCCCCAGUACCUCCA